CAGCCGCCGCGGUAACACCGGCGGCCCGAGUGGUGAUCGUGAUUAUUGGGUCUAAAGGGUCCGUAGCCGGUUUGGUCAGUCCUCCGGGAAAUCUGAUAGCUCAACUAUUAGGCUUUCGGGGGAUACUGCCAGACUUGGAACCGGGAGAGGUAAGAGGUACUACAGGGGUAGGAGUGAAAUCUUGUAAUCCCUGUGGGACCACCUGUGGCGAAGGCGUCUUACCAGAACGGGUUCGACGGUGAGGGACGAAAGCUGGGGGCACGAACCGGAUUAGAUACCCGGGUAGUCCCAGCCGUAAACGAUGCUCGCUAGGUGUCAGGCAUGGCGCGACCGUGUCUGGUGCCGCAGGGAAGCCGUGAAGCGAGCCACCUGGGAAGUACGGCCGCAAGGCUGAAACUUAAAGGAAUUGGCGGGGGAGCACAACAACGGGUGGAAGCCUGCGGUUUAAUUGGACUCAACGCCGGACAACUCACCGGGGGCGACAGCAAUAUGUAGGCCAAGCUGAAGACUUUGCCUGAAUCGCUGAGGGGUGGUGCAUGG
This 540-nucleotide ribosomal RNA is filed under the name uncultured archaeon. RNAcentral describes it as "bacterial SSU rRNA". It matches the Rfam family "Archaeal small subunit ribosomal RNA", at positions 459 to 997 of the family's 1478-position model. The record is from RNAcentral.